UCAGGACGAACGCUGGCGGCGUGCCUAAUACAUGCAAGUCGAGCGGACCUUUCGGGGUCAGCGGCGGACGGGUGAGUAACACGUGGGCAAUCUGCCCGAUACUCUGGGAUAACGCUUGGAAACGAGUGCUAAUACCGGAUGGUCUUCUUGGUCGCAUGGCCGAGAAGGAAAAGACGCGUUCGCGUCGGUGUCGGAUGAGCCCGCGGCGCAUUAGCUAGUUGGUGAGGUAACGGCCCACCAAGGCGACGAUGCGUAGCCGACCUGAGAGGGUGACCGGCCACACUGGGACUGAGACACGGCCCAGACUCCUACGGGAGGCAGCAGUAGGGAAUCUUCCACAAUGGGCGAAAGCCUGAUGGAGCAACGCCGCGUGAGUGAUGAAGGCCUUCGGGUUGUAAAACUCUGUCAUUCGGGACGAACCGGAGUCUGAGGAAAUGCAGACUCUCUGACGGUACCGGAGGAGGAAGCCCCGGCUAACUACGUGCCAGCAGCCGCGGUAAUACGUAGGGGGCAAGCGUUGUCCGGAUUCACUGGGCGUAAAGCGCGCGCAGGCGGUGAUGUAAGUCUGANGUGAAAACCCGAAGCUCAACUUCGGGACUGCCUUGNAUACUGCGUCACUUGAGGAUAGGAGAGGCAAGGGGAAUUCCACGUGUAGCGGUGAAAUGCGUANAGAUGUGGAGGAACACCUGUGGCGAAGGCGCCUUGCUGGCCUAUUUCUGACGCUGAGGCGCGAAAGCGUGGGGAGCAAACAGGAUUAGAUACCCUGGUAGUCCACGCUGUAAACGAUGAGUGCUAGGUGUAGGUGGGCUCAUACCCAUCUGUGCCGAAGCUAACGCAUUAAGCACUCCGCCUGGGGGAGUACGGUCGCAAGACUGAAACUCAAAGGAAUUGACGGGGGCCCGCACAAGCAGUGGAGCAUGUGGUUUAAUUCGAAGCAACGCGAAGAACCUUACCAGGACUUGACAUCCCAUAGACCAGUCUAGAGAUAGACUUUCCCUUCGGGGCUGUGGUGACAGGUGGUGCAUGGUUGUCGUCAGCUCGUGUCGUGAGAUGUUGGGUUAAGUCCCGCAACGAGCGCAACCCUUACUUUGUGUUGCCAGCAUUCAGUUGGGCACUCACAAGGGACUGCCGCCGAUAAGGCGGAGGAAGGUGGGGAUGACGUCAAAUCAUCAUGCCCCUUAUGUCCUGGGCUACACACGUGCUACAAUGGGCGGUACAACGGGAUGCGAAGCCGCGAGGUGGAGCCAAACCCUGAAAACCGUUCGUAGCUCGGAUUGUAGGCUGCAACUCGCCUACAUGAAGCCGGAACUGCUAGUAAUCGCGGAUCAGCAUGCCGCGGUGAAUCCGUUCCCGGGCCUUGUACACACCGCCCGUCACACCACGAGAAUGGGCAACACCCGAAGUCGGUGGGGUAACCUUUACGGGAGCUAGCCGCCGAAGGUGGGGCCUGUGAUUGGGGUG
This 1461-nucleotide ribosomal RNA is filed under the name uncultured bacterium. RNAcentral's name for it is "bacterial SSU rRNA". It matches the Rfam family "Bacterial small subunit ribosomal RNA". The record is from RNAcentral.